AUACGUAGGUGACAAGCGUUAUCCGGAUUUACUGGGCGUAAAGGGCGUGUAGGCGGUCUUGCAAGUCAGCGGUGAAAGCCCGGGGCUCAACCCCGGAAGUGCCGUUGAUACUGCAUGGCUGGAAUGCGGUCGAGGCGGGGGGAAAGGGGCGGGGAGCGGGGGAAUGCGUAGAUAUGCCACAGAACGCCGGUAGCGGAGGGAGCUCGCCAGGCCUGCAUUGACGCUCGGGCACGAAAGCGUGGGGAUCGAACAGGAUUAGAUACCCUGGUAGUCCACGCCGUAAACGAUGGGCGCUCGUCGUCGGCGGCAGACAGUCGGCGGCCAAGCGAAAGCGAUAAGCGCCCCACCUGGGGAGUACGGUCGCAAGGCUGAAACUCAAAUGAAUUGGCGGGG
RNAcentral lists this ribosomal RNA (393 nucleotides) under uncultured bacterium. RNAcentral describes it as "partial 16S ribosomal RNA". It matches the Rfam family "Bacterial small subunit ribosomal RNA", at positions 523 to 918 of the family's 1533-position model. The record is from RNAcentral.